UGAAUAAAGCUUCGCGAGAUUGCCUCAAAGAAAAAAAAAAGUAAAAGUUGAGGUGGCGGCGGCAGCACGCCCUCGACACCCUUCCCUCCGGUCGACUCCAUCCGUCCGCCGCCGCCGCACCCCAGCGUAAUGCCCGGCGAAGUUGUCCCUUGAGGUGACGCUAGCUAGGCUACGGCCGGAGCUGGCUGAGACAAUGGAAGAUGCGGGCAUGGAGUUCCUCCUCGACGCUGUUGACAGGUUUCCCCUGCUUGAGGAAUUCACGGACAGCCAUGAGCAGCCGGAUCCGGCUCCUCUGGUUUUGUUAGCGAAUGGAGGAGCAGGAGCGAGCGGUCCAGGCUUAUUCCAGUGCUAGCUCUGAAUGUGGUCAGCAGGUUGGCGGCGACUGCAACGAUGCUGCUCGCGCUGGGGUUCACCGACGGCACAAGUCGUCCCCGGCGAGGUCCACGCAAUCUACUUACAGAAUCAAUCCCCAGGCCCCUGGAUGGACAAAAAUGUUAAGACUGGGUAGUGCGCCACCAGACCGGAGUCCGUGUCCACCUCGAAUGAGUGCUUUGGAGCAGUCAAUUCGGAAAUACACGGAGAAACCAACAAAAAGUGUAAUAAGACCUGAACUAGGAUUGAGUUUUGAUUCGUUGGGCGAAGCAUACAGCUUUUACAAUCUGUAUUCGUGGGAAAUUGGCUUUGGUAUUAGAUAUGGCAAGAGCCGGUUGAAUGCAGAGAGAACUAAAUGCAUGCAGGAGAUCGUCUGCGGUUGUUCGGGAAAGCCAGAGAUGGAGAAUAGCAGGUCGUGCAGGUGCGAGUGUCCAGCCUUGAUUAGAUUGCUACGCGUUGCGGAUAACAGUUGGUAUAUUACUGAGCACCGUGAAAGCCACAACCACUCCAUGUCACCGACGAUGGGCGAGAAGGUGCACUGGCCCUCACACAAGCACACACUAAGGAUUUGAUAAAAGCAGAUGAGGGAGAAUAAUGUGAAUCUUGGUAAGGUGUGCAGCAUAAUUUGCAGCUAUUUCGGAUCAGUCGAGAAGCAUUUACAAAAAGGACUCCAAGGAACAUUUGCAGGGAGAUAAGCCGUGAGCAGGCGGAGGAUGAUGUCCAGAAGACUUUGGAGGUGUUUGCGGACAUUGUUAAUGGUGACCCCGGUUUUACAUACAAAGUUCCGGCAAAAAAUAGGUAGUAAAGUGAAGAACGUCAUGUGAACAAAUGUGAGCAGCAGAAUGCAGUACAGGUUCUUUGGGAUGCCGUAACUUUCGACACCACUUACAGGAAGCCUGUACGACAUGCCUUCUGGACUAUUUGUUGGGAUGAACAAUCAUUUUCAGAGUAUAAUUCUUGAUGGUGUCUUGAUGAGGGACGGAUAAGAAGAGAGUUUCGAAUGGGUGUUCUUGCAGUUCAUGCAGAUGAUGGGAGGACCUUCUCCAAGGACUAUUCUGAUAGACCAAAACCGAGCCAUGGAAUUGGCCAUAAAGAAGGUUUAUCCAGGCACGGUGCACAGGUGGUGCAAAUGGCAUGUCCUGAAGAAAGCAAAGGAGAUGUUAGGGCUGUUGCAUACGAAGAAAUCUGAUUUUCAAGCUGAGUUCCACAAGGUUGUGAACUACAUGUUAACCAUAGAUGAGUUCGAGGCAGGGGUAUUUUGUUAUAUAAACACAAUUUGAGGAACCAUACAUACAUGACGCAGUUGUAUGAGAUUAGAGAAAAGUGGGGAAGUCGUACUUCGAGGGGGUUUUCUGCGCCAAGAUGAUGAGCACUCAACGCAGCGAAAGUGUGAAUCACAUGCUGAAGACCUACAUGCCACCAGCGAGUCCAAUGCACGUUUCUGUGAGGCAAUACAUGAGGCUGUAGUUUGAUCGAGAGCGAGAGGAUAGCUAUGAGGAGAAGAGGACAAUGAUAGGUGGAGCAGUGAGGAGAACUAAUUUGGCGAUAGAGCGGUAUGCAAGUAGGAUAUACACAAGAGCGAUGUACGAAGAGUUUAGGCGCCUAGUAACCGAAGCUACUGCCUAUAAUGUCACCGAAAAUAGAGAAGAUGAGGAAAUAUCUUGCAGUCCACAACAAUGCAGCCAAGAGAGAAAAAUGGAGCAGAUUGAGUAUGAAGUGAACAUAAAUGAUGACCAAUGACAGUUUACAUGUGAAUGUGGUCAGUUCGAGCACACUGGGAUGUUGUGCAGCCAUGUUCCGAGGGUGAUGGAAAUACUUCAUCUCGAAGAGAUCCCCGCUAAGCAUAUAGUGAAGCGGUGCACAAAGGACGCGAGGGACAUACUGUCGCAACACCGGGCUCAGUAUCAGAGAGACAACUCAGCUAACAUGUCCUUUACCUGUAGACACUCGAAGCUGUACCUGAAAGCCAUGGAGGUGGUGAGGAUGGAUGAUGCGAGUGCGACAGCGUACGAUCACCUAUAUGAAGGUUUGGACGCCCUGCUGGUGAGUGGUGCACCUUUGGCCGAGAAGAGGGUCGGCUUGGGUCUCCACGACCGAAUGGCCGGCUUAACUCCUGGUACAUUGCUUGGCAAUGAUGAGAUAGCAUAUCUGGGUGGCGACGGUGCUGAAAAAUGCAUCAGUACUGGAAACUCUGUUAAUGUGAAUGGUCUGCACGGUCUAAAAGCACCGGAUAAGCAGAGGGGAGUUGGAAGACCAACAAAUAGUCGAGAAAAGGCAUCGUAGGAGGGACUCAGUAGGCGAAAGUACUGGAAACUCUGUUAAUGUGAAUGGUCUGCACGGUCUAAAAGCACCGGAUAAGCAGAGGGGAGUUGGAAGACCAACAAAUAGUCGAGAAAAGGCAUCGCACCGGAUAAGCAGAUGCGAAGGGCACAAACAAACUAUAUGCCCUGAGAGACGGGAUGCCCUGAAGAAACCACGAAAGCCCGGUAGAUGCAAGAAUUGUGGUAUGGAAGGGCACCGGCGGACCACAUGCACAAGGCCUUUGGGUGUUACUGAGAAAUGAGGACUGAAUUUCGAGAGGAGCGAUGAUGACUUUGCUGAUGAAAAAAAAAACUUCUGCUUGUGUAAUAUGAAGUUUCCUUAAUUUAUGAAAUGGAACUGCUUUCUUGAACGUGUUGGUUGCU
Molecule: long non-coding RNA, 3056 nt
Organism: Triticum urartu
Lineage: Eukaryota; Viridiplantae; Streptophyta; Magnoliopsida; Poales; Poaceae
Source: RefSeq, a predicted model, not a curated record